RNAcentral lists this transfer RNA (84 nucleotides) under Chenopodium album (lamb's quarters). Its description in RNAcentral is "tRNA-Ser". It matches the Rfam family "tRNA". Rfam says of the family: Transfer RNA (tRNA) molecules are approximately 80 nucleotides in length. Their secondary structure includes four short double-helical elements and three loops (D, anti-codon, and T loops). The record is from RNAcentral. Lineage: Eukaryota; Viridiplantae; Streptophyta; Magnoliopsida; Caryophyllales; Amaranthaceae.
GGAGAGAUGGCCGAGGGUUAAGGGUAGCAUUGGAACUGCUAUGUAGGCUUUUGUUUACCGAGGGUUCGAAUCCCUCUCUUUCCG